AUUGCUGCUCUGUGGCGUAGCUCUAGGGGAGCGCUCUUUUGGAAAGGGGAGGCGGGGCAUCAUGGGAGGGGACCCCCUCCCCCACGUCGACGUUGCAGGAAAGGAAAAGAGAAUCAGGAGCGAGGACAAAGAGGGCCUGCCUUCACCUGCAGCAGAAUUCCCCAACCCACCAAGGAUUUGAGACCCUUCAGGUAUCCUCACCUGGUUUAGCCAGCCGUUUGAAGCCAUUCCUGGGAUUAUGGCCCCUGUUGCAUGCUGACAGCUUCUGGAAGAAACAGUUUUCUUCCUUGAAACCAAAACAGGAUUUCCUUUCCUCCCACUCUGAAGAAGGAAAUGGAGAAGACAGUCAAAACUCCAGGGAAUGGGGCACCUUUCAUUUCAUUAGGAAUAGACAUUAAAAUGUGUGAAAUGUG
Non-coding RNA from Podarcis muralis (Common wall lizard), 413 nucleotides. NCBI's taxonomy places the organism in Eukaryota, Metazoa, Chordata, Lepidosauria, Squamata, Lacertidae. The record is from RefSeq and is a predicted model, not a curated record.